This 379-nucleotide ribosomal RNA is filed under the name uncultured bacterium. Its description in RNAcentral is "bacterial SSU rRNA". It matches the Rfam family "Bacterial small subunit ribosomal RNA", at positions 362 to 758 of the family's 1533-position model. The record is from RNAcentral.
UAUUGGACAAUGGGCGAAAGCCUGAUCCAGCAAUGCCGCGUGAGUGAUGAAGGCCUUAGGGUUGUAAAGCUCUUUUACCCGGGAUGAUAAUGACAGUACCGGGAGAAUAAGCUCCGGCUAACUCCGUGCCAGCAGCCGCGGUAAUACGGAGGGAGCUAGCGUUGUUCGGAAUUACUGGGCGUAAAGCGCACGUAGGCGGCUUUGUAAGUUAGAGGUGAAAGCCUGGAGCUCAACUCAAGAAUUGCCUUUGAUACUGCAUCGCUUGAAUCCAGGAGGGGUGAGUGGAAUUCCGAGUGUAGAGGUGAAAUUCGUAGAUAUUCGGAAGAACACCAGUGGCGAAGGCGGCUCACUGGACUGGUAUUGACGCUGAGGUGCGAAA